AUGUCAGCGGUUGGGUAGAGGUGAUAUACAAGAAAGGGACAGGACAUUCUAGUGGGACCAGAUAAAAUGGCGUAUAUAGACCUUGCAUGUAAACUACUGGUAUGCUGUUGUAAGCUCUACGAGCAUUGCCAAAAAGAGAACGAAAAUACAGGCACUUCUGUACCACCAGGGCAUUCAAGUGUCCAACCCUUAGACCAAGAAACCAACGGCCAAAAUUCUGCGACGAUGUCAGCGUUUCCUGUUCUAACUCAGCCACCGGGUAGUACCGCUGCCACUGUUCAAAAACAAGAAUAAGGCGGGGUGCAAGUAAUUUGCCCGGACAACAUAAAUCAUUUACGAAGAGAAAUAUACUGGAUAUUCUUGUGACACUUGAAUCUAGACUUGAACUAACCUGCUGACAUUUAUCUUACAAUAAUCAAUAUGUUUCAUUCUUAGGUUCCUUAGUACUACCACAGUGUUAAAACUGGUUCCGAUAACAUGCGAUAGAAUUGUGUUGUUGUGUGGUACUAUUACCAAUUCAUUUAUAUCACUGAUGCAGUGUUAGUACAUGUAUAAGAAACCGUAUACAUAUAAAGUAUUAUUUUUAGUAUCUUUGUCAGUCACAAAUGAUCUGCGCUCUUUCUUUUCCCUGCAUGGAAACCCGAGGAUUUUCCAGAUCAGGCGCAAUCGAAGCGACUAUAGAAUAAUCGAGUUAAGGUUCUGUUAUUUUUCUACAUAACACAUUACGGGGCAGUUAAAUGACCACGUUUUCUUGUCAAGUAAAACGUUAGUACAAUUCACGACUAAUUUUCGCAUUUUUGACUUGCAUUUUAUUUCCGUUUGGUGUAAACAAUUAAUCAAAGGGAUGUUGACUUUAGAGCCAUGUAUAUUUACUCUUCUGUGGUACCGAGUGUAGUGCUUUAAUUCCAUACAUUUUAUAUCUAUGUAUGUAAUGCCAUACUGAGUUGCUUACUGCUUAUGUAUAUAUACUUUAAACGGAUAAAAGCUUCUGUGAUAUCUGAUAAAUUAUACACAGUUAUGACUGUAGAAACAUGUUAUUGUACGAAAUAAAUAGAUUUUA
Pecten maximus is the source of this 1060-nucleotide long non-coding RNA. RefSeq lists it as uncharacterized. The transcript has 4 exons. The record is from RefSeq and is a predicted model, not a curated record. Lineage: Eukaryota; Metazoa; Mollusca; Bivalvia; Pectinida; Pectinidae.